Molecule: transfer RNA, 73 nt
Filed under: Maridesulfovibrio ferrireducens
Lineage: Bacteria; Pseudomonadati; Thermodesulfobacteriota; Desulfovibrionia; Desulfovibrionales; Desulfovibrionaceae
Description: tRNA-Leu
Source: RNAcentral
GCAGAUUUAGAAAAUGGUGUAAAACUGAUUCGUAAUCAGUAGGUCGUCAGUUCAAUUCUGAUCGUUGGCUCCA